Molecule: transfer RNA, 91 nt
Filed under: Achromobacter piechaudii
Lineage: Bacteria; Pseudomonadati; Pseudomonadota; Betaproteobacteria; Burkholderiales; Alcaligenaceae
Description: tRNA-Ser
Source: RNAcentral
GGCUGCGGUAGUCGGCGGCCACGGUCUGGCUCUCGGAAGGGGCCGACAAGCGGGGGGCCUGCGUGUCGACGAUGGCGGCGUCGCGCAGCAG